RNAcentral lists this long non-coding RNA (319 nucleotides) under Paramuricea clavata. Lineage: Eukaryota; Metazoa; Cnidaria; Anthozoa; Malacalcyonacea; Plexauridae. The record is from RNAcentral.
GAAGUAUUAAAAAUUGGUGUAUAAUUCAUUUUAAUUCAAUACGUCCUACACUACAGUCUACAGACUACAGUAUAUUUCUACACAUACCAGGGCUGACAUGAAAAAUAGAGGCAUUCGGGCGAGUAAUAUCUUUAGAAAGAUACAAUUUGAGUUGCGCUUGCGGAAUGCAGCAAUAAGACUUUGAUCUGGAGACGAAUUUGGUGUUUUUUAAGCCUAUUUUUCAAAAAUAAUGAAUAAUGAAAAAUUUUCGUGCGGCAGAUAAAUCCCAUGCGGGCGGGGACGAGAAACAUGAUAUCAAUUUUCAUUGGCCUUAUUUUUA